This 1206-nucleotide ribosomal RNA is filed under the name metagenome. RNAcentral's name for it is "SSU rRNA". It matches the Rfam family "Eukaryotic small subunit ribosomal RNA", at positions 565 to 1786 of the family's 1831-position model. The record is from RNAcentral.
UGCCAGCAGCCGCGGUAAUUCCAGCUCCAAUAGCGUAUAUUAAAGUUGUUGCAGUUAAAAAGCGCGUAGUUGGAUCUGGGGUUCGGGUCGGCGGUUUGCCGCUUCGGCGGCUACUGCCGUGCUCGACUCUUACUAGCCGGUGCGUCUUGCGGUGCUCUUCAUCGAGUGCCGUAGGAGCCUGGCAUGUUUACUUUGAAAAAAUUAGAGUGCUCAAAGCAGGCGAUUCCGCCUGAAUAGUGUUGCAUGGAAUAAUGGAAUAGGACCUCGGUUCUAUUUUGUUGGUUUUCGGAACUUGAGGUAAUGAUUAAGAGGGACGGUCGGGGGCAUUCGUAUUUCGGUGUUAGAGGUGAAAUUCUUGGAUCGCUGAAAGACGGACAAAUGCGAAAGCAUCUGCCAAGAACGUCUCCAUUAAUCAAGAACGAAAGUCAGAGGUUCGAAGACGAUCAGACACCGUCCUAGUUCUGACCAUAAACGAUGCCAACUAGCGAUCCGCAGUGGUUGCUAUAAACGGACUCUGCGAGCAGCUUCCGGGAAACCAAAGUGUUUGGGUUCCGGGGGAAGUAUGGUUGCAAAGCUGAAACUUAAAGGAAUUGACGGAAGGGCACCACCAGGAGUGGAGCCUGCGGCUUAAUUUGACUCAACACGGGGAAACUCACCCGGUCCGGACACUGUAAGGAUUGACAGAUCGAGAGCUCUUUCUUGAUUCGGUGGAUGGUGGUGCAUGGCCGUUCUUAGUUGGUGGAGUGAUUUGUCUGGUUAAUUCCGAUAACGAACGAGACUCUAGCCUGCUAACUAGUUGCGCCGUGUUCAUACGCGGCUGUAGACUUCUUAGAGGGACAGGUGGCGUUUAGCCACACGAAAUUGAGCAAUAACAGGUCUGUGAUGCCCUUAGAUGUCCGGGGCCGCACGCGCGCUACACUGAAGGAGUCAGCGUGUGCUAUCCGGGCUCGGAAGAGUUCGGUAACCCGUUGAAACUCCUUCGUGCUUGGGAUUGUGGCUUGUAAUUAUCGCGCAUGAACGAGGAAUUCCCAGUAAGUGCAAGUCAUCAGCUUGCGCUGACUACGUCCCUGCCCUUUGUACACACCGCCCGUCGCUACUACCGAUUGAAUGGUUUAGCAAGGUACUCGGAUUGGUCUCGAUCUUGUACGAAAGUGCGGGAUCUGUGGCCGAGAAGAAGGCCAAACUUGAUCAUUUAGAGGAAGUAAA